ACCACGUUACAGGGGCGCGAAAGCUGAGAUGUACCCUUUGACCUGAUCUAGGUAAUGCUAGCGUAGGGAGUAGACCUACGCCUUUU
This 86-nucleotide non-coding RNA is filed under the name Bulleidia extructa. Its description in RNAcentral is "TPP sequence". It matches the Rfam family "TPP riboswitch aptamer (THI element)". From Rfam's summary of the family: Vitamin B(1) in its active form thiamin pyrophosphate (TPP) is an essential coenzyme that is synthesised by coupling of pyrimidine and thiazole moieties in bacteria. The record is from RNAcentral. Lineage: Bacteria; Bacillati; Bacillota; Erysipelotrichia; Erysipelotrichales; Erysipelotrichaceae. RNAcentral also lists the same sequence under 1 other name.